AAAAAAGCCGUCUCCAUGGAAGCGGCCCUUCCGCUCGGAGCCCGGCGGCCUGGAGGGAGACCCGGCGGGGAUGCGAGGAUUCCGCCCCAGCCCCAGAGGACGCGGCGGAGAGCCUGGAGGAGGCGCUUUGAGAGUCGAGGUCUCCCGCCCGCGCGCCUCCCUGGCGCAGACCUCUUUUAACUUUUUGGCGUGGAGUGCGCGUCCUGACGUGCCCCCUGAGCUACAGCUUACUGAGCUUUACUGGCUUCGCCGGACAGCCGUCCCCAGGUGGAGAGACAGCGCGUCGCGCGCUGCCCGGGCCCCGCAGGGCCUGGCGCCUGGGGCCCUUGCGCCGCUUUGGGGCGAGGGGAUCACACCGCGGGCUCCCGGAGCUUAGCGUCUUCCACGCGGCGCUGUGUGUCAUCCACGCAGUGUGCUCUCGCUGCCGUGUUCAGGUCACUGCGAGGGUGAGCCCCGCUUUAUCUACCCCUUCUGCUGUUGAUGGGCACUCGUCUGGGGCUAGAAGGGAUAAGGUUGCUGUGAGCGUUCUCGUGUGUUUUUGGUGCACGCGCACACACAUUUCUCUGGGGUGCAGACCUGUCUAGUAGUGGAACUGCCGUUUCCCAGCACUUUGGAGCAAAGCCCUGUUGCAGUCUGAAGCGGAAAAGGCAGACGGGCCUUCCAUGUUCGUGAUUCCAGCCAGGCACAGAAGGGAAGGACAGGGACAGCAGCCGCGCGGAGGCGAGGAGGGACACUGGGCGCUGCUGUCCCCUCUCAGGGGCAGCCACUCCUCUUGUGGACGCAGGUGUGGUCACCAGAAGGGAAGGACAGCAGAGGACUCUUCAGGGACCUUCCUGGAUCCCCCUGCAAUGGGAGUGGCCUACUUGCUUGACUUGAGGGUGAGACUUGGUCAGCCCUUGACUGUAGGGGGCAGGACCAUGGGCUUCAGUGGGGCAGCACCCAUGACCCACGCCUCUGCUUCCAUUCCCUGCUUACUGCCCGGGCCUCUGGGCAGGGGAGUCUAGUCUCCCUUCCCAGGCUUCCAAUGCCUCGCCCCCUGCUGUGGUAAGGAUUCGCGCUGGUCCCUAUUUAUUAAUCAGGGAACUUGGGGUUCCAGUUUUCUCCCCUUCUCUGCAUCUCAUCCCCUUGAGAGCCCCCUGGAGCAGAGGAUAACGCACGAGGGGACUGGCUGUGUAUAUUUUGAUAACAAUAUCAAAAUACUGUCAAAUACUAAACGGAAAAGAAAUAGGAAAACAUUGAACUUUAUUAAAAUGAACUUCAAAAGACACCAUUAAGAGUAAAAAGAUGACUCACAAAAAAGUUGCCUUUUGUUCAGUAAACGACUCAGGACCAGAAAAUAUGAAGACCCCUACAACAAGAAAAAUAUAGAUAGCUCAGUUAAAAAUUGACAAAAGACUUGAAAAGAUAUUUCACAAAAGGAGAGAUCCAGACAGUCAAUCCACACACGAAAGGGUACUUAGCAUCAGGGAACUGCAAAUAGUGACAUUCGAUUCCAUAUCACAGCCACUGGAUGGCUAAAAUAGCAACGCCAAGUGCUGAUGAGACUGUGGAACAACCAGCUGGGCUCUCAUACCCUGCUGAUGGGAGAGUGGAUUGGAGCAACCACGUGGAAACAUCUAAUGGAGGUAAGCAAACGCCUGCCAUAGGAACCAGCGUGUAUAUCCAAGGGAACCGAGUGCUAGGUUCCUGAUCAUGGUCAAGAUCGCCUACAGCAAAUUUACUUAUUUAUUUUAAUCCCCCAACAAAUGUCUUUAAUGUCUUUAGAAAGAUUAAUUAAAUGGUAGUAUUUUAAGAAUGCAAUGGUAUACUGCACAGCAACAAAAAAAUAACAAACUGCUAAUACUUGCAGCAACAUGGAUAAAUCUCAAAGUAUUGAAUGCAAAGCUACAAUAGAGUGCAUAACUAAGGAUUCCAUUAUAUAAAAUACAAAAUCCAGGCAAGACUGAUCUACAGUGUUAGAGGUCAGGAGAGAAUUUUGGAGGUAGUUGCUUGGGCACCGGGAUACUGCGUGGGGAGCUGUGAGUGCUGCAUAUCUUUAGCUGCGUCCUGCUUGGAGUGCAUACUCUGUGAAAAUUCAUCAACCUGUGCACUUAAGACUUGUGUACUUACAUUAUCUUUCAGGAAAAAGAAAAGAAAAGUAUGCCAAACUUUACCCUUCACCUUUCUUCUCAAAAUGGUCAGGUUUCAGAGCUGUGGUAGAAACUUCUAGUACUGACAACAGCCAGUACCUCCCCGCUUGGCAGCUGAGACUAUGGGACCAGUUCUGGCCAAUGGAAUGUGAGGGGAAAUGACGGAUGUCAAUUCCAGGCUGAAGCUUUUAGUUGCCAGAGCCAGGUCCUCCAGUCCUACCUUUCCACUGUGGCAGUCCCUCUGAAGUCCCAAGAUCAAGAGCUGACAGCUGAAUCCUUGCAUGGAGAGUCGCCUGGACCUGCAGUGGACUCUGGAUGAGGGAGUAUACACCCCUCUCCUGAGAUGGCAAACAGGAGGUCUGGAUCAAUCCUACAGUGUCGGCAAAUGUCUGGAUUACCCUGCAAGUUCAGACCAGUGAGGAUCCUUCAGCCACUGGGGGAAAGGCUCUGCUGACACAGCAACAGCGAGCAGGGGGCGCCAGCCAGCCAGCUGGCCGUGCAGUGUUCCAGCGGCAGGCGUAGUUUUCUCCCACCUCUCAUGGACAUUGAGUGCACCUUGUGUAUGCUAUGGACAUGCCCAGCCGCUGGAGAUGGGAGGGGAGGGGGUAAGAAGGGAAGCCACUGUGCCGUGACCCUGAGGCCAUUGAGGUGGGGUUUGGUGUCUCACCAAACGGAAGCCACAUUGUUCUGAAUUGCACCUCUGAUGGCUAGGCCAAAUGCUCAUUCUGUUUAACAUCAUUGCUGCAGUCUGUAGCAAAACCCUUAACGUUACAAAGGAAGAGAUAGAGCCACUUCAAACCGUGAAAGGAGAAGAGAUACCACAGUUAAGUCCGCCUGUCUUGGCCAACGGAGUUCAGUCUUUGGGCUUUCCAGCAACAAAAGAUGCCUUCAGUUGCCCCAGGGUUUUACUCCAGUCCCCGGCAACAGCUAGAUCUCCAUGAAGGGAAACAGCCAAUAUUUUUUUUACUUGCAGGAAAGGGAGGCAUGACAGCUCCACAUCUGUGUUCACCCUUGUGGAUCCCAGGUGAGACUCCAGAUGAAAUGGGAGAGUUCUCUGACCCCCUCACAGGACAUGUGACAGGAGUGUGGCUAGUCUGUUCAGCCUCCACCACUGCUGAAACACCUUAUGGGAGGGGGAGCAUGCAGAUGGGCAAGCGCAGGUGCCAGGGCCAGCGCUUUUGGGCUUCAACCCCAUGGUGGCAUCUAGGGGUGUGUGUCUGUGACUCCUGAAGCCCCAGUGUGUGUGCUCCAGUGCUCUUUUAGCUCUGCUGUCUGUCAGGCCUCUGAGCCCAA
Molecule: long non-coding RNA, 3422 nt
Filed under: Homo sapiens (human)
Lineage: Eukaryota; Metazoa; Chordata; Mammalia; Primates; Hominidae
Description: HSALNT0314357
Source: RNAcentral